CAACCCCUUGGAUCCAGCCAUGCCGCGUGUCUGAAGAAGGCCUUCGGGUUGUAAAGGACUUUUGUCAGGGAGGAAAUCCCGGUGGUUAAUACCUGGCGGGGAUGACAGUACCUGAAGAAUAAGCACCGGCUAACUACGUGCCAGCAGCCGCGGUAAUACGUAGGGUGCGAGCGUUAAUCGGAAUUACUGGGCGUAAAGCGUGCGCAGGCGGUUUUGCAAGUCUGAUGUGAAAGCCCCGGGCUCAACCUGGGAACGGCAUUGGAGACUGCACGACUAGAGUGCGUCAGAGGGGGGUAGAAUUCCGCGUGUAGCAGUGAAAUGCGUAGAGAUGCGGAGGAAUACCGAUGGCGAAGGCAGCCCCCUGGGAUGACACUGACGCUCAUGCACGAAAGCGUGGGGAGCAAACAGGAUUAGAUACCCUGGUAGUCCACGCCCUAAACGAUGUCAAUUAGCUGUUGGGGGUUUGAAUCCUUGGUAGCGUAGCUAACGCGUGAAAUUGACCGCCUGGGGAGUACGGCCGCAAGGUUAAAACUCAAAGGAAUUGACGGA
RNAcentral lists this ribosomal RNA (549 nucleotides) under uncultured Chromobacterium sp. Its description in RNAcentral is "bacterial SSU rRNA". It matches the Rfam family "Bacterial small subunit ribosomal RNA", at positions 369 to 917 of the family's 1533-position model. The record is from RNAcentral. Lineage: Bacteria; Pseudomonadati; Pseudomonadota; Betaproteobacteria; Neisseriales; Chromobacteriaceae.